This is a non-coding RNA of Notechis scutatus (mainland tiger snake), 167 nucleotides long. The record is from RefSeq and is a predicted model, not a curated record. Lineage: Eukaryota; Metazoa; Chordata; Lepidosauria; Squamata; Elapidae.
AGUUCUCAACCCGUGGGUUGCCUAAGACCAUCGGAAAACACAUAUUUUUGAUGGUCUUAGGAACUGAGCCAUCAUUUUAUGGUUGGGGGACACCACAACAUGAGGAACUGUAUUAAAGGGUCGCGGCAUUAGGAAGGUUGAAAACCGCUGCUAUAAGGGGAGGAGAA